GUACUCGAAACCGACACAGGUGGGGUAGUUGAGAAUACUAAGGGGCGCGAGAUAACUCUCUCUAAGGAACUCGGCAAAAUGACCCCGUAACUUCGGGAGAAGGGGUGCCCUCGCAAGAGGGUCGCAGUGAAGAGGCCCAGGCGACUGUUUACCAAAAACACAGGUCUCCGCUAAGUAGCAAUUCGAUGUAUGGGGGCUGACGCCUGCCCAGUGCCGGAAGGUUAAGGAAGUCGGUCAGGGAGCAAUCCUGAAGCUGGCGACUGAAGCCCCGGUGAACGGCGGCCGUAACUAUAACGGUCCUAAGGUAGCGAAAUUCCUUGUCGGGUAAGUUCCGACCCGCACGAAAGGCGUAACGAUCUGGGCGCUGACUCGGAGAGAGACUCGGCGAAAUAGGAUUGUCUGUGAAGAUACGGACUCCCUGCACCUGGACAGAAGGACCCUAUGAAGCUUUACUGUAGCCUGGAAUUGUCUUCGGGUUUCGCUUGCGCAGGAUAGGUGGGAGGCUGUGAAAUACCCCUUGUGGGGGGUAUGGAGCCAUCGGUGAGAUACCACUCUAGCGAAACUAGAAUUCUAACCUCUGGCCGUUAUCCGGCCAAGGAACCGUUUCAGGUGGGCAGUUUGACUGGGGCGGUCGCCUCCUAAAAGGUAACGGAGGCGCGCAAAGGUUCUCUCAGGCUGGUUGGAAAUCAGCCGCCGAGUGCAAAGGCAUAAGAGAGCUUGACUGCUAGACCUACAAGUCGCGCAGGGACGAAAGUCGGCCUUAGUGAUCCGACGGUGCCGCAUGGAAGGGCCGUCGCUCAACGGAUAAAAGUUACUCUAAGGAUAACAGGCUGAUCUCCCCCAAGAGUUCACAUCGACGGGGAGGUUUGGCACCUCGAUGUCGGCUCAUCGCAACCUGGGGCGGAAGUACGUCCCAAGGGUUGGGCUGUUCGCCCAUUAAAGCGGUACGUGAGCUGGGUUCAGAACGUCGUGAGACAGUUCGGCCCAUAUCCGGUGCAGGCGCAAGAGCAUUGAGAGGAGCCUUCCUUAGUACGAGAGGACCGGGAAGGACGCACCGCUGGUGUACCUGUUAUCGUGCCAACGGUAAACGCAGGUUAGCCAUGUGCGGAGCGGAUAACCGCUGAAAGCAUCUAAGUGGGAAGCCCACCUCAAGAUGAGUGCUCUCACUACAUAAGUAGGUAAGGUCACGGGCAGAACACCCGUUCUUAGGCGCUAGGUGGAAGUGCAGUAAUGUAUGCAGCCGAGGCGUGCUAAUAGACCGAGGGC
RNAcentral lists this ribosomal RNA (1266 nucleotides) under metagenome. RNAcentral describes it as "bacterial LSU rRNA". It matches the Rfam family "Bacterial large subunit ribosomal RNA", at positions 1644 to 2912 of the family's 2925-position model. The record is from RNAcentral.